GUGGCCGAGUAGGUGGCAGGUUGUAACCCUGUGUAGGCGGGUUGAGCCCCGUCCUUACUAA
This 61-nucleotide transfer RNA is filed under the name Trachylepis cf. chimbana. RNAcentral's name for it is "partial tRNA-Tyr". The record is from RNAcentral. Lineage: Eukaryota; Metazoa; Chordata; Lepidosauria; Squamata; Scincidae.